Molecule: unclassified non-coding RNA, 249 nt
Filed under: air metagenome
Description: partial contains small subunit ribosomal RNA, internal transcribed spacer 1, and 5.8S ribosomal RNA
Rfam family: Eukaryotic small subunit ribosomal RNA (bases 1-46)
Source: RNAcentral
AAGUCGUAACAAGGUUUCCGUAGGUGAACCUGCGGAAGGAUCAUUACUAGUGUCUCACGGUGACGCGCCCCCGGGUGCCCCUCCCGCGAUUCCCACCCGUGUCUACCUACUCUUGUUGCUUUGGCAGGCCGUGGCCUCCACUGCGGGCUCUGCUCGUACGUGCCUGCCAGAGGACUCAACUCUGUAUGUUAGUGAUGUCUGAGUACUAUACAAUAGUUAAAACUUUCAACAACGGAUCUCUUGGUUCUG